AUCAACUGCAGACACAGCAAAGGAUGAGUGCGAAGGCCACGAGGUAAGCCCAGGCAGCAGGAACAGGGAGAAGGCGAGUGUGGCUGGGUCAAAGUGAUAAAGGAAGAGUAGAAGAAGUUGAAGUUGGACUUAGGCAGGCCCAGAUCAAAUAGAGCCGUAGAGGCCACAUAAGGAGCUUAGACUUUUGCCCUAUGCAAAUCGAAAGCCACAGGAGAUUUUAAAGCAGGUACUGACAUGGUCUUGCAUGAGGGCAACUACCUCUGGUCCAGCGAGGAAGUUGCCCUCUCAGUGUGAUCAUAUGGCUUCUGACCUGUGGCCAGUGCCAAGACCUAACAGACAGACAGCAACUUCAGAGAGCUAGGAGAAGUGAGUCCACAAAAACCUCUGAGUGUAUCAUCAGGAUUGCGACCCCCACAAGCCACACAAUUAUUGUGCUAGAGGCUGGUCCUGAAGUCACCAGCACCACCAAAGGAAACUGGAGGUCCCAGGGAAAGAAAAUCCUCAAUUCGACAUCUACCUUCACACGCCUACAAAAAAAUCCAGCGUGAUGACUGUAGCCAUGACACUUCUGGAGUGAAGCAGGCAGGCUGGAGUGCAAUGGCACGAUCUCGGCUCACCGCAACUCUGCCUCCUGUGUUCAAGCAAUUCUCCUGCCUCAGCCUCCCGAGUAGCUGGGAAUACAGGCGCGCACCACCAUGCCCAGCUAAUUUUUGUAUUUUAGAGACCAGGAUGGUCUCGAUCUCUUGACCUCGCGAUCUACCCGCCUUGGCCUCCCAAAGUGCUGGGAGCCACCGUGCCCGGCCCAAAACUGGGUUUUUUGAUACUUCUUUUUGUAUUGGUCUGCUCCAAUAAAGCCCAGGCUGACUACCUCCAGUCAGCCCCACUCAGAAAGAGCCCUUCUCUGGCCCUCUGGGGCAGAGAAGCCCUUCUGGGGCAUCUAGAAAUAACAGGCUCUGGUCUGCUGUUAUAUGACUGGCCCAAAGUCCCACGGGCAGAAUUUUUGUCCCUCCUGAGCAGAUGAGUGCAUACCUCUGAGGUUUGCAGCAUGGCAGCCGCCCUCUCCAGACAGAUCUCCACAAUGCAGUUCUUGGCCUUGAUGCAUGAGUGCUGGGACCUUAAUUCCUUCCUUUUUCCCUUUCCUCAUUCAGUCAAGGGGUGAUGGUAAAUGGCUAUAAAGCUUGUUUUAUUGAACUAACAUCUAAUAAGCUGAGUUCUCUGAAUUAGGUCUACUCAGAAAAGAAGUUGUAGAACUUAAACACCUAUGCCCACUGGAAAUGUACAGAAAAGGCUGCAUGAGGGCCUUUUCUCAAACUAAAGAAAGGAAUGCCCUAUUAACAGACUUUCUACUCUUUUAUUAAUAGUUCAUUUUUAGUAUCUGUGUUUUCUUCUGUUAAUUGCCAUUUUCAUCCUUUUAAUUUUGUAUAAUUGCCUACCAUUUAAAACCCUUCCUGUUUCAGUAAGUAUCUGGUUAUUCAUACUCAACAAUAUUUGAACAAUUUGGUAUAACAAAUAAAAUAUACCAUAGAGAAGAAAAAAGUGUACAUUUGCUUGGAAUAACACAACAAAAAGCACAGCCAUCACAAUCAUCAAUCGUCCACAUUACACACGAAUUGAGCUCUAAACCCAGGGACUUCAGGAUGGGAUGAAACGCCUAGGAAGUUCCCAGCUUUCCUUCUGUCUAUCACUCUC
Molecule: long non-coding RNA, 1689 nt
Filed under: Callithrix jacchus (white-tufted-ear marmoset)
Lineage: Eukaryota; Metazoa; Chordata; Mammalia; Primates; Cebidae
Description: lncRNA (ENSCJAG00000076967.1)
Source: RNAcentral